UAAAAGUAAGCAAGGGCGCAUGGCGGAUGCCUUGGCUCUCGGAGGCGAUGAAGGACGUGAUAAGCUGCGAUAAGCUGCGGGUAGGUGCAAAUGACCUUUGAUCCGCGGAUUUCCGAAUGGGACAACCCAAUAUCUUGAAGAGGUAUUAUCCU
This 152-nucleotide ribosomal RNA is filed under the name Bacteroides intestinalis. RNAcentral's name for it is "partial 23S ribosomal RNA". It matches the Rfam family "Bacterial large subunit ribosomal RNA", at positions 1 to 154 of the family's 2925-position model. The record is from RNAcentral. Lineage: Bacteria; Pseudomonadati; Bacteroidota; Bacteroidia; Bacteroidales; Bacteroidaceae.